Molecule: ribosomal RNA, 361 nt
Filed under: Haliplus mucronatus
Lineage: Eukaryota; Metazoa; Arthropoda; Insecta; Coleoptera; Haliplidae
Description: partial 12S ribosomal RNA
Source: RNAcentral
AUUAUUAUAAAUGUAAAUUAUUAAUACUUGAAGAGUAAUUGUUAUGUUCUUGAAAUUUAAAGAUUUUGGCGGUAUUUUAGUCUGUUCAGAGGAACCUGUUCUAUAAUUGAUAUUCCACGAUUAAUUUUACUUUAUUUAAUAAAUUUGUAUAUCGUUGUUUUUAGAAGAUUUUAUAAGAAUUUAAAUUUUUAAUUUUUUUAAUUAAAUUAUAUUUCAAAUCAAGGUGCAGUUUAUAAUUAAGUGGAAAUGGGUUACAAUAAAUUUAUUUAUAUGGAUUAAAAUUAGAAUAUUAAUUUUAUGAAGGUGGAUUUGAUAGUAAAUAAACUAAAUUAAUUUUAUUGAUUUAUGCUCUAAAAUAUGU